Rhopalosiphum maidis (corn leaf aphid) is the source of this 670-nucleotide long non-coding RNA. RefSeq lists it as uncharacterized. The record is from RefSeq and is a predicted model, not a curated record. Lineage: Eukaryota; Metazoa; Arthropoda; Insecta; Hemiptera; Aphididae. The transcript is spliced from 3 exons.
UACACACGGACUAAGAUAGACUAUAUUAUAGUCUGUAACAUUACAUUACUAUAUUAGGUUGUUCAUUGCUAUUAAAAUACAAAAUUAAAGUUGUAACAUUUUCUUUUACUUUAACUCAAAAACCAAAAUUCAAAUACAUACUUUCAAAUAUUUUAGUAAAGAAACAUUAUCAUUGGCCCACUACAUUUUGGCGCAGUCAUUUUCGGAAUUCUUUCUACAGAAUUACCCGUGUUGAAAAUUUUUCAAAAUUAUUCAAGGGAUUCAAGGCGGAAAUUCAUCACUGAAUCGCGGAUUGAAGAAGACAACUGCAGAAUGUGAACUCCGUCGACUACAAGGAAGAUUCGUAACGCAUAGUGAACAACCCGCAACAAUUCAACAACAAUAAAUUACAAUGGAAGCAACAACUUAUCAAGCCGUCGUAGUGGUCCGGCAAAAAACCUCUGUGAUUACGUUCUUUGGGGAUAUUUAAAGGCACAGUGUACGAUCAUCGCCCUGCAUCCCUACAAGCACUGAAGGAACCAAUCACCAGGCAUUGGCCUCCAACUAGCAAAGACACGAAGAGUUAUGGAAAACUAUCGGGAAAGGCUUCAUGAAUGUGUGCACACCACUGAACACCACUUAACCAAUGUAAUGUUUAAAAGAAAAAAUCCGUGAUUGGAUAAAUAAUUAA